AGAGACCGCAGUUACACCGAGUUACUGGCGGAAGUAUCCGUCCAGGUCUGCAGCAACGUCAAUUCUUACCUCCUAAGAAGGAAGAAUUCGACUGAGGCGCACAAAGCAGAAAGGGCGACUGAGUCAAGUUCCAGAGCAGGAAUGAAAGUUUAUUUUAAAAUGCCUUAGAACAGGAACGAAAUGAAGGUGUGCAUGGAAAAGACCCACGCAGGCACAUGAAGGUUAAAGAGAGAAGAGAUGGAUCUCAAAAAAGAAAUCAAAACUGGCUCAGAUUUCCCAAGGAUUUCCAUAUCUAUGUACUAGAAGAUAAUUCAGACUUAUGCAUCUGAGAAGGGUCUCUUUCCUGCCACCUGUGAGGAAGGCGACUUGCUUCCCCUUCACUUUCCACCACAAUUGUAAGUUUCCUGAGACCUCCCAGGCCAUGCUGAACUGUGAGUCAGUUAAACCUCUUUCCUUUAUAAAUUACCUAGUCUGAGGCAGUUCUUUAUAGCAGUAUGAAAAUGGACUAAUACAAGAGUGAAAUGGGAACCCACUCCCUGCCCUACAGGUGGGAGCCUGAACUGGUGUGGCCAAUUUCAAGGGCAAAUCUUGGUAAUACUAAGUGAAAUUGCAUGUGUGUAUGGCCAUGGAUGUAGGAAUCCUACUCUUGGGUAUCUACUCCAGAGAAAGCCACGCACAAGUCUAUCAAGAGACAUGCAUGACAUAUUUAUUCAUAAGAUACGUGUGGUAGUAAGGAAGUAGAUUAAUCUAAAUGUCUAUUACCAAAAGGUUGGGUAAAUUAAAAAGAAGAGGGUGAUCAAUACAAAGCAGAAUUAUAGUCAGAAGACAAAAACUAGAUGCACUUGGAGGAAUAAGGUUAAAUGUUAAAAACACAGUAUUUAUUGAAUAAAUUAAGAAAUAAAUAACAUGUAUAAUUUUAUUUGUGAAAAUUAAAAAUGUAUAUUUAUAUAAAACAACAAAAUAUGUGUUAAGCUUGACUGUAUAUCUAAGAAACAUCAAAUAUGCUAGUCUGGAUGUUUUGAGGAACAAAGGGGAAAAGGGGAGGGAGAGAAAAUAAAUAGAAGAUAAAAUACAAAGUAAAAUAAAACAAGUAUGAGGCCUUGAAAGAAUCGGGAUAAUUACCAUGAAACAGAGUAAGAUUGACUCAAUUGUAUGCUUCAUCUAAGGUUGAAAACAAAAACAAAAACACAAACAACAAGACAGUUGAAUAUAAAAUUAUGCAGGUAGUAUAUAAAGACGAAAAAUAAAAAGUUCAGACUAAAAACUAGAAAGAGACAUAUAGAUCAUAUUUGUGUGUGUGUGUAUAUGUGAGUGUGUGUAUAUGUGAGUGUGUACAUGCACACUCACACAUACAUUUCCAGUUGGUGGUAUAUAGGUGUUUUAUACUGUUUUUAGAACUUUAUUUAUUUUGUGUAUUACCACACUGAAGCUCUUUUCUUACAAUCAGAGACAAGGAAAAAAGGAAAGAAAAAGUGCCUAAAGGCAUCUAUAUUUCAUUUUGACAUUUUCCUUUUUAAUGUCAUAACAUAUAAAAAUGUAAAGUGAAUUAAAAAGAUAUCAAGCAAAGAAAAAAGCUGAUGAAAUUAUUAAACCAAAUAGUCAAGAAAAGGCAAAGGCCUAACUUGUUUACAUGCAUACCUCCUGAUUAUAAGACCAAUACACAGGCAAGCUUGACUGCCUCUUAAAGCUAGUUUUUGCUGCAUUGUUAACUGCUUCUCUAGCACAUAUCAAAUUCAACAUUUUACCCAAGCUCAUUAGUUGAAAGACUAAAUAUGGAGCCUUUGGUUCUCUCCUAAAAGGGCCUCAUUACUAUGACUAAAGUUUAAAAAGAGUAUCAUUACUAAGCCUGCAAAAAUGGUCAUGCCAAUAAUGAGAUGGAAAAAUCCAGACAUGUGGUGCUUUCUAAAGAAAUAAUAAUUUUUUUAAAAGGGUAAUUCCCUGAUGUCAAGGCUUGGCCAUUUUUAACCUCCACAAGCUAUUUAAAAGAUCAGACUUUUGAUCCUAAAUCAAGAAAUCCAGUUUAGACCCUUGCAAUUUUGCUGCCUUGGGUCACUAAAACAUAGGCUGUAGCUAUCCUGGAAUUCCAAGAAAUUCACAAGUAUAGAGCACUUGGUCCUAAGAGAUGUUGGCAGACCUUUGUAAAAUAAGGAUGAAAGCAACUUCAUCCCAAUACUUCUUAUGGUACCCUUUGGUAGAGACAAAGUCUACCAGGACUGUUCUGGGCUGAAAACUCUAAAAAUUAUUUCAAACUGAUGGUAUUUCCUUUUUCUUAAUAAUACACGUAUCACAUUUUUUCUCAUCUUUCUGUAACAAUUUUUCUCCUCUUUCCCCUCCUUCCUCUCCUCCUCCUCUUUUUUCACCUUUUGCUUCUUCCUUCUCUUCAUCUCCCUCAUCCUUCUCCUCCUUUUCCUGCUCCUCCUCCCUUUUCUUCAUCUUCUUUUUAUGUCUUCUUACUUGUUUUUAUUACUUUCUUCUUCAUCAGAAAACUAGCUUCUAACUGACUCAAAUAUGUUUCAGGAAGUAGUGCUGGUUUUCAACAAAAGAGUUAUUAUGAUGUCACCAUUUUCAUUAUUUUAACAGACAUAUAUUGAAUAUCAACUAUGGCCAAUAACUAGGCAUACCAUUUUCAUAGACAUAGCUACAUCCUCAGAUGCAUUCUGUCCCCAAGAUCCUAAUUUUAUAAAUGGAAAAACCAAUGUGCAUUGUGUAUUUCACGUGGGGUAGAUUGUAUGUUAAAUUCUUUAUUUAAAUCAUUUUAUAAAAUAUUAAGAACACGCUACGUAUUAUAUCUAGUUAGACCAUGAUACAGAUGAAAGAAUUGCACUUCAAUAGUAUACUACAUUUCACAGUUCACAGAGUUAGAAAAAGAUAUAUGUAUAUCAACUGAAUCCAGAUUUGUCUCAUGCCAAAACAAGUACUCUUUCUACUAGUAAUUGCAUUGCCCCCAAGAGAUUGAAGGGAGAUAAAUAAAGUGGCAGAACUAGGUUUAAGACCAACUUAUAUCAAGUAUAAUUGACUUUCUACUUUAGUGCAUUGAUACUUCUCUAUAAUCUUAUUUCAGCUUAACAUGGAAUCAUACAUUAUUUUUGACUUCCAGACUUUGAAAUUUGUUCUAUUUGUUUCUUCAGCUGGGCAAUGUAGGAAGGCAUGUUAUAGUAGAUAAAUACCUUCCAAGAAUAUACACUUUGUAAAAAAAAUAUUGUCAACAUUAGUAUGAACUCAUUAUAAAAUGAUGGCUGGCAAUUUUUGUCCCAGUGGCAUAUGGAGGAAAUUCAGUUCAAUUCAAGAAACAUUUAUUGGUUGGGUGCAGUGGUUCACACCUGUAAUUCAAGCAGUUUGGGAAGCCAAGGCAGAAAGAUUGCUUGAGCCCAGGAUUUCAAGAUCAGCCUGGGUAACUUGCCCAGACCCUGUGAGCUGUGUUAAUGUCACUGCACUCCAGCCUGGGUUACAGAGAGAGACCCUGUCUUAAAAAAGAUUAUGGAGCAUCUGUUAUGUGAAAGGCACCAUGAGUCUUUCAGGAUAC
Pan troglodytes (chimpanzee) is the source of this 3523-nucleotide long non-coding RNA. RefSeq lists it as uncharacterized. Lineage: Eukaryota; Metazoa; Chordata; Mammalia; Primates; Hominidae. The record is from RefSeq and is a predicted model, not a curated record. The transcript is spliced from 3 exons.